Long non-coding RNA from Zalophus californianus (California sea lion), 343 nucleotides. RefSeq lists it as uncharacterized. Lineage: Eukaryota; Metazoa; Chordata; Mammalia; Carnivora; Otariidae. The record is from RefSeq and is a predicted model, not a curated record. The transcript has 3 exons.
CAGACAUCAGCAUUUCCGUAUUGUACGUGCUCCAUUCCCAACUCCGGUUGACAAAAUACUCUAUCAUGGAAACAGUUUUUAAAAGCCGAUUCAUGAUCUUUGUCAUCCUGGGGUAAAGAUCAGAGGGAUUCAUACUCACUUUUAAGAAUCACUACUGGAAUGAGUACUGCACAGAGGCCAGAGACCUGUCUUCUACUUCUGUUUGAGCUGGCUUCUGCAUGCGCACCUGUGAACGGCUGUGUACCAUCCCACAGCCAAGGUGAGAUUGACGACUGUAUCAACGGGAAUUAAAUCUGCCACAGCCAUCGGAGCACCUCUUAUGGACCGAAGAAACCCUUUCCCA